AGAGACACCAUGACCAUGGCAACUCUUUUUUUUUUUUUUAAGAUUUAUUUAUUUAAUGUAUAUAUGUGCGCUCUAUUUGCACAUAUGCCUUUACACCAGAAGAAGACAUCAGAUCCCACUAUAGGUGGUUGUGAGCUACUAUGUGGUUGCUGGAAUUGAACUCACAACCUCUGGAAGAGCAGCCAAUGCUCUUAACUGCUUAGCCAUCCCUCCAGCCCUGCUGAAGGAUACUGAAUUCAAGAUCAGCUCAAGGAAGGUUGUAGGGGUUAGGAGCAAAUGCCGAAAAGCUUUAAUUUCAAGAGCACUGGAAGUGAUAACUAUGUGAGUAACUGUAAUGGCUUGAACCCCUCAAGAGUGAAGGCAUAAGAUCUCAGACAAACUCAAGUCAUUUUCCUGGAAAAUGUAAAUGUGAAGAACGACACAAACAAGCCAAAGGGCUCUUCUGCACCAAAGGACACAAAUGUGCGCACUAGCAGAACACAAGUGAUCCUGGACCCAGCCUUGGAUUCUCCACCUCCUCCAAAUCAAGUACCAACCACCACCACCACCUCCACCCACCUUACCCAUCUGGCACUGGUACAUGUUCCGAGGACUCUGGUUAUGAUCAGAGAAGGGGAUGAAGUUGGCGAUCACACUCAGCAGGCUGUGAGGGAAGAGCUCCUGGUGUGUGGAAAUUCCAGAAAAAACCUCAUCCUCAAAAAUGGCAACGUUCAUGAAGAGCUGGAGGAAAACAAGAGUAAGGAAGACAGAGGCAUAAAAUAACUGUGGCUGUCUCGCUGCUUCCCAGGGGUUAGUGCUCAAGGCCACAAAGAGUCCCUCCCCAAUCAUGAAUGCCGGCUACUGAUAUGGGGAGCUGCUGUUGAGACCCAGGGUGUGUGCCUGCUAAGAGCUCCAACACUUUCCCCUUGGAUAUCUCAUCCUCUAUCUACCCUGUCCAAUUGUGAAGAGCCAAAGAGGAAGACAAAUAUUUAUUUUGGACAGGGUUUCUCUGGCUAUCCCAUAACUCACUCUGUAGAUCAGGCUGGCCUCAAACUCAAAGAUCCACCUACCUCUGCCUCCCAAGUGCUGGGAUUAAAAUGCAUCACCACCUCCAGUUUCAUUUUUUUUUUCUUUUUAAUAAAAUUUUUAAAGUAGGCACAAACUCCAGUUUGGCAAUGGCAAAGAUGUGGACGACAACUGUGAUGCCUCAGUCUUCACCAGCUGGGGCAGAGCCAGGUGCCAAGGAACCACGAACACCGGGCAGGAAGGACAGGCAGUUAUGUGAGCACCAAGCCUCCCUCAGGUUCCCAACAGUAUGGCAAGACACUAAAACUACUUAGUCCUGGGCAAUGGGGGUCAGAAAAGUGAGCUGGAUGUUCUGUCAAAUGCUUUUAAAAGUGAAAGCCAAGUCCCUGAAAACUGUUCUACAUAAGCACACACCCCAGCGGGUACCCACCUGUUCCAUAGUUCCAAUGAGCUCUUCUUUGCCCAGCUCCAAGUUCUGCACAGGCCUCACCAGCCGGCAGGGAGUUGUGAAGAGGAACAACCCCGGGUAUAGGCUUGGUUUUCCUGUCAUGGGAACCAGGGCCACCUCCAUCCAGGGAGGAAUUCUCUUUUCUCUCAACACCUGUUUCAACAGAACAGAGUUUAAUGAAGAACAAAUGUAUGUUUUACCCCACCCUCCCUGCCACCAGAGUCAGGUAGAAUGGGAAAGGGAAAGCAUCUAAGAAAUUACAUCAUCCUGGUAAUAAACCCAGAACCCCAAGCCACAGCUGUCCAUCCCAAUCUCACCCAGCCCACAAGGGAAAUGGCAAAAAAGGCAAGUUGAUUCUCCGAUGUCUAAAAUAUGGAUUAAUGAAUUUCUUUUCAAACAAUCACAUGAAAAGUGUCUUACAUUUGAAAAUUAAAAAACAAAACAGAA
Non-coding RNA from Cricetulus griseus (Chinese hamster), 1900 nucleotides. NCBI's taxonomy places the organism in Eukaryota, Metazoa, Chordata, Mammalia, Rodentia, Cricetidae. The record is from RefSeq and is a predicted model, not a curated record.